AAAAAAAAAGAAAUAAAAAUUCUUAAAUGUGCAAAAUACAUUAGAUAAAAUGGAGACAAUCUCAAAAUCUCAAACUAAACAAAACUACCAAGGACCACAACUGGUGAUUUAAUUAACCAAAUCAAGAAAGCACAAUUCAUGCAAACAAGACAAAGGAAAGAACUCCAUAUCAUAAACAAGAAAACAUGGAUGCAUUGAUCUAACAACAAAAUUUUUCUCAAUCAAAA
This 227-nucleotide unclassified non-coding RNA is filed under the name Hevea brasiliensis (rubber tree). The record is from RNAcentral. Lineage: Eukaryota; Viridiplantae; Streptophyta; Magnoliopsida; Malpighiales; Euphorbiaceae.